AUUGAACGCUGGCGGUAUGCUUAACACAUGCAAGUCGAACGGUAGCAGGCCUUCGGGCGCUGACGAGUGGCGGACGGGUGAGUAAUGCAUAGGAAUCUGCCUAUUAGUGGGGGAUAACGUGGGGAAACUCACGCUAAUACCGCAUACGAUCUACGGAUGAAAGCUGGGGACCUUCGGGCCUGGCGCUAAUAGAUGAGCCUAUGUCGGAUUAGCUAGUUGGUGGGGUAAAGGCCUACCAAGGCGACGAUCCGUAGCUGGUCUGAGAGGAUGAUCAGCCACACUGGGACUGAGACACGGCCCAGACUCCUACGGGAGGCAGCAGUGGGGAAUAUUGGACAAUGGGCGAAAGCCUGAUCCAGCAAUACCGCGUGUGUGAAGAAGGCCUGAGGGUUGUAAAGCACUUUCAAUAGGAAGGAAUACCUAUCGGUUAAUACCCGGUAGACUGACAUUAAAAGGUACAAGAAGCACCGGCUAACUCCGUGCCAGCAGCC
RNAcentral lists this ribosomal RNA (491 nucleotides) under uncultured bacterium. Its description in RNAcentral is "bacterial SSU rRNA". It matches the Rfam family "Bacterial small subunit ribosomal RNA", at positions 30 to 516 of the family's 1533-position model. The record is from RNAcentral.